Molecule: long non-coding RNA, 476 nt
Organism: Triticum aestivum (bread wheat)
Lineage: Eukaryota; Viridiplantae; Streptophyta; Magnoliopsida; Poales; Poaceae
Exons: 2
Source: RefSeq, a predicted model, not a curated record
ACGAACUUCUGCUCAUCUUGGAGACAUCUCUCAAGUUUUGCUCGGAGAAGAAGAAACUCCAAAAAUCCAAGCCUGGGUGGGGAGUGGAGACGACGAAGCUGAUUCGACCAGAUUAGUACAGUUUUGCAGCUAGCAGUGUGUGAUGUGAACCGCGUUGAUGAAUUUGAGCUCGGCGCGGUUGGUUGGGAGUACAGAUGGAAUCAGCAAACUGAAUCUGUCUCUCAGUUGAAGACUCUCUGUUAAAAGACUAACGGAGGAAACAAAAGAGUAUUGUUUACUACUAUGGCCAAGCAUUUCAACGUUCAUUCUGCGAUAUCAUCCUAGGAAGUUUGGGCCACUUGUGUGGUUUCUGUUAGCUUUAAUCUUGAUUCAUGUAUCUGCAUGUUUAGUCUGAGUUUUGCACGUAAUUUAGUGGCCCGAGUAUCGUGUCGUGAAUUAUACAUUUUGCAUCUAUAUAAAGCCAUCAUUUUGGAUUA